RNAcentral lists this ribosomal RNA (885 nucleotides) under uncultured bacterium. RNAcentral's name for it is "bacterial SSU rRNA". It matches the Rfam family "Bacterial small subunit ribosomal RNA", at positions 32 to 902 of the family's 1533-position model. The record is from RNAcentral.
AACGCUGGCGGCGUGCUUAACACAUGCAAGUCGAGCGAGAAAGCACCUUCGGGUGUGAGUACAGCGGCGAACGGGUGAGUAACACGUGGGCAACCUGCCCCAGAGACCGGGACAACAGUUCGAAAGGACUGCUAAUACCGGAUGACGUGUGUCCUGCCAAGUGGGACACACCAAAAGGUAGCUUCGGCCUCCGCUCUGGGAUGGGCCCGCGCCGGAUUAGCUAGUUGGUGAGGUAAUGGCUCACCAAGGCGACGAUCCGUAGCUGGUCUGAGAGGACGAUCAGCCACACUGGGACUGAGACACGGCUCAGACUCCUACGGGAGGCAGCAGUGGGGAAUCUUGCGCAAUGGGCGAAAGCCUGACGCAGCAACGCCGCGUGCGGGAAGAAGGCCUUCGGGUUGUAAACCGCUGUCAGGAGGGACGAAGCCACUCGGGUUAAUAGCCCAGAGGGUGACGGUACCUCCAGAGGAAGGUCCGGCUAACUACGUGCCAGCAGCCGCGGUAAUACGUAGGGACCGAGCGUUGUCCGGAAUUAUUGGGCGUAAAGCGCGUGUAGGCGGCUUGGCAAGUCCGGUGUGAAAUGUCGGGGCUUAACCCCGGAACUGCACUGGAAACUGCCUUGCUAGAGUCCGGAAGAGGAGACUGGAAUUCCUGGUGUAGCGGUGAAAUGCGCAGAUAUCAGGAAGAACACCCGUGGCGAAGGCGGGUCUCUGGGACGGUACUGACGCUGAGACGCGAAAGCGUGGGGAGCGAACAGGAUUAGAUACCCUGGUAGUCCACGCCGUAAACGAUGGGCACUAGGUGUGGGAGGUGUCGACUCCUUCCGUGCCGAAGCUAACGCAUUAAGUGCCCCGCCUGGGGAGUACGGCCGCAAGGCUAAAACUC